AAAGGAAUUGACGGGGGCCCGCACAAGCGGUGGAGCAUGUGGUUCAAUUCGACGCAACGCGAAGAACCUUACCAGCCCUUGACAUGUCUAGGACCGGUCGCAGAGACGCGACCUUCUCUUCGGAGCCUGGAACACAGGUGCUGCAUGGCUGUCGUCAGCUCGUGUCGUGAGAUGUUGGGUUAAGUCCCGCAACGAGCGCAACCCUCGUCCUUAGUUGCCAUCAUUCAGUUGGGCACUCUAAGGAGACUGCCGGUGAUAAGCCGCGAGGAAGGUGGGGAUGACGUCAAGUCCUCAUGGCCCUUACGGGCUGGGCUACACACGUGCUACAAUGGCGGUGACAAUGGGCAGCGAACCCGCAAGGGGGAGCUAAUCUCUAAAAACCGUCUCAGUUCGGAUUGCACUCUGCAACUCGAGUGCAUGAAGUUGGAAUCGCUAGUAAUCGUGGAUCAGCAUGCCACGGUGAAUACGUUCCCGGGCCUUGUACACACCGCCCGU
Molecule: ribosomal RNA, 495 nt
Filed under: uncultured bacterium
Lineage: Bacteria
Description: bacterial SSU rRNA
Rfam family: Bacterial small subunit ribosomal RNA
Source: RNAcentral